RNAcentral lists this ribosomal RNA (484 nucleotides) under uncultured bacterium. RNAcentral's name for it is "partial 16S ribosomal RNA". It matches the Rfam family "Bacterial small subunit ribosomal RNA", at positions 30 to 507 of the family's 1533-position model. The record is from RNAcentral.
AUUGAACGCUGGCGGCAGGCCUAACACAUGCAAGUCGAGCGGAUGAAGGGAGCUUGCUCCUGGAUUCAGCGGCGGACGGGUGAGUAAUGCCUAGGAAUCUGCCUGGUAGUGGGGGAUAACGUCCGGAAACGGGCGCUAAUACCGCAUACGUCCUGAGGGAGAAAGUGGGGGAUCUUCGGACCUCACGCUAUCAGAUGAGCCUAGGUCGGAUUAGCUAGUUGGUGGGGUAAAGGCCUACCAAGCCGACGAUCCGUAACUGGUCUGAGAGGAUGAUCAGUCACACUAGAACUGAGACACGGUCCAGACUCCUACGGGAGGCAGCAGUGGGGAAUAUUGGACAGUGGGCGAAAGCCUGAUCCAGCCAUGCCGCGUGUGUGGAGAAGGUCUUCGGAGUGUAAAGCACUUUAAGUUGUGAGGAAGGGCAGUAAGUUAAUACCUUGCGGUUUUGACGGUACCAACAGAAUAAGCACCGGCUAACUUCGUG